RNAcentral lists this ribosomal RNA (301 nucleotides) under uncultured bacterium. Its description in RNAcentral is "partial 16S ribosomal RNA". It matches the Rfam family "Bacterial small subunit ribosomal RNA", at positions 509 to 807 of the family's 1533-position model. The record is from RNAcentral.
CAGCAGCCGCGGGAACACGAAGGGGGCUAGCGUUGUUCGGAAUUACUGGGCGUAAAGGGCGCGUAGGCGGCCAUUCAAGUUAGAUGUGAAAGCCCUGGGCUCAACCUAGGAAUUGCAUUUGAUACUGUUUGGCUUGAGUUCGGGAGAGGUGAGUGGAAUUCCCAGUGUAGAGGUGAAAUUCGUAGAUAUUCGGAAGAACACCAGUGGCGAAGGCGGCUCACUGGCUCAUUCUAGACGCUGAGGUGCGAAAGCGUGGGGAGCAAACAGGAUUAGAUACCCCAGUAGUCCCUGUCUCUUAUAC